GGCAGUUUAGCUAUGAUCCAAGUAAUCUCCAAUAACCCUAAACCUCUAUCAAUUCAAUGAUCAGACCAGUUUUGAAAACCAUGAAAUUUAAUAAAUUUUCACAAUUGAACCAAACUGAUUUUAUUAAAGGAAUUGAAUCAAACCGAAUCAAAAUAUUCGGUUCAAUUCGGUUAUUCAGUUUGAUUCAGCAAUAGAUAUGCAGAUUGCAUAAUUU
Molecule: unclassified non-coding RNA, 214 nt
Filed under: Hevea brasiliensis (rubber tree)
Lineage: Eukaryota; Viridiplantae; Streptophyta; Magnoliopsida; Malpighiales; Euphorbiaceae
Source: RNAcentral